AGUGGAGUGAUGAGUGCUGGAUAAAUUGCUAGCGGCGGACGGGUGCGUAACACGUGGGUAACCUGCCCCUAUCACUGGGAUAACACACUGAAAAGUGUGCUAAUACCAGAUAACAUAAGCUUUUGGCAUCAUUAGCUUAUCAAAGAAUUUCGGAUAGGGAUGGGCCCGCGUCUGAUUAGCUAGUUGGUGAGGUAACGGCUCACCAAGGCAACGAUCAGUAGCCGACCUGAGAGGGUGAUCGGCCACACUGGAACUGAGACACGGUCCAGACUCCUACGGGAGGCAGCAGUGGGGAAUAUUGCACAAUGGGCGAAAGCCUGAUGCAGCAACGCCGCGUGAGCGAUGAAGGCCUUCGGGUCGUAAAGCUCUGUCCUAUGGGAAGAUAAUGACGGUACCAUAGGAGGAAGCCCCGGCUAACUACGUGCCAGCAGCCGCGGUAAUACGUAGGGGGCAAGCGUUAUCCGGAAUUACUGGGCGUAAAGGGUGCGUAGGCGGUUUAUCAAGUCAGGGGUGAAAGGCUACGGCUCAACCGUAGUGAGCCUCUGAAACUGGUGAACUUGAGUGUAGGAGAGGAAAGUGGAAUUCCCAGUGUAGCGGUGAAAUGCGUAGAUAUUGGGAGGAACACCAGUGGCGAAGGCGACUUUCUGGACU
RNAcentral lists this ribosomal RNA (651 nucleotides) under uncultured bacterium. RNAcentral's name for it is "bacterial SSU rRNA". It matches the Rfam family "Bacterial small subunit ribosomal RNA", at positions 65 to 735 of the family's 1533-position model. The record is from RNAcentral.